UCCAAUGGCAAGAAUUCAUCUCUACCUCCUCUAAAGAGGAAAAGUUGAAAAGAAUGCUCAAUGGCAAGAAUUCAUCUCUACCUCCCCUAAAGAGGAAAAGUUGAAAGAAAAUUUUGAAAAGAAUGUCCAAUGCCAAGAAUUCAUCUCUACCUCCCCUAAAGAGGAAAAGUUAGAAAGGAAAUUAAAAAAAAAAUGCCCAAUGGCAAGAAUUCAUCUCUACCUCCCCUAAAAAGGAAAAAUUGAAAGGAAAUCUUAGAAAGAAUGCCCAAGGGCAAGAGUUGAUUCCACCUCCCCUAAAGAGGAACGAAAAUAUGUUGAAAAAAUGCCCAAUGGCAAAGUUGGCUCCACGAGUGUUCUUUGGAUUGCCCAAUGGCAAAUCUGGUUCUACCUUACCUAAAGGUGAGUGUUCUUUAGAUUGCUCAAUGGCAAGUCCGGCUCUAAAUCACCCAAUGGUGACGGUUAUACUCUAAAAAAAAAAAAAUUAUUAUUAUCGUUGACAGUGUGCAAUGCUGGAAUAUUUUGUCCUUAUAGUUUUUACAAAAUUGAUAUUUUUUAUCUUUGACAAGUUACAAGGUUGCAGGGCUGAAGCAUUUUGAAUUUACUAUGUUGCCGAGUGAAGACAUCUCGUCUUAAGCGAGUGAGGAGUUAAAAUAUCAUGGCUGACAAUCAAAGGUCACAAAGCAACAAGAAAUUCGUCAGAAACACUCAUUUAUUGUUGACUAGGGGGGGAGUAGCUGAUGAGGAGUAAACUCUGCAUCAACUCUACGCAAUUAACAUGACUAAAAUCUUUAUUUUAUAUUAUUAUUAUUGACACAAUUAUUACUAUUAUUUCAAAUAUUUUGUGCAGCGCUAAUUUGACAGGGCUGACUUUAUCAAUCGGGAAUUAUAUGGGCAGCUCAACGACUCGGCUUCAAGCUCAAGACUCAUGUAAUAAGGGCUUAGGCCCAAUUAUUUAGAUUAAUGGGCUUUAGAGGUCAAAUGGGCCAAGCUCACUUAAUAGCAUAUAAAUAGGGCUUUUUCAUUAUUUACUCACAAGUUAGUCAAGGAAGUUAAGUUAGAAAAGUUAAUCAUUCUUUCAAUUCUCAAGUUGUAAAUGUAAACACUCUCCAAGAAUAUAGUGAAACACACCAAAAAUCUACCGUGGAUGUAGAUCUAACGAUCGAACCACGUAAAUCCUCGAGUCAUUUAUCGUUUUAUAGUUAGAUGUUGAUGUUUGAUUCAUCAACUUUAGUCAACUACCCUUAUAUUUCACCCACAACACAUUUUUCAGCUUUCUUAGUCUCCGUGCCACCCUCAAAUGGGGCUUUAGUUGGUGGACUUAUGAACUUAUUUUAUAAUUACUAACCAAACUCUGCUGCAGGAUACGAAUGAGACCUUCCAACGUGCCUGUUGAUCCCUGUACCGACCCCAUCAUACUUAUAAUAACAUAUUAUUUCAUCCUAAACACGCAUACAUAAAAUUCACUUAAUCAUACUUAAUUUAACAAAAUUAUCUAAUAUAGAUAAAUUAAUCUAAUUAAUUAAAAUUAAUCUAAUUAAUUAAAAUUAAUCAUGCUUCAUAAUUAAUUAUACUAAAAAUUAAUUAAAAUUAAUUUAAUUAGUAUUAAUUUUAAUCUAACAAAAUAAUAGUAAAUAAAUAAAAAGACAAGAGCGAGAGCUUACGUACGAUGAUUUAAAGCUCAACUCAAUAAUAAUAUACCAAACUUGAAUUGAAGAAUAUUCAAAUUCCACCAAAAUUGCAUGUGGUGCUUGCACACGAACGUACGACGACUUUGCAUUGACCCACAAGCUUACAAAUGCCAACUAUAUAUAACACCAUCAAUUACCGAGUAAUGCAAGUUGAAUUUUAUGAAGAUGAGUUGUGAAAUGCAAACCACACAAUACAUGUAUAUAUACAUAAUAUCUGUGUUUCAUUAUUGGUCUUCAAAGAAAAAGAAAAUCUGUGUUUCAUUAUUGAAUCAACACCUUCCCAAACAGCAUGUAAGUUAUAUUGAGUGUAUAUUCCCCUGAAGAUAUAUUACUUGCUCUCGAAACCAACCAGUAGCUACUUACUGCUUAGUACUACUUCAUCCACUGCCAAUCAUGUUCAAGUAAGUUUGCUCUAUCUAUUUUCAAUAAACACACUUUUUUUAGCAAUUGUUAUCUUCACAAUUUGAUUAACGUUCAACGGAAUUAUUGAUGUAUAUGUUGAACGGAUUUGAUGAAUGUUCAUCAAAUCUGUUGGACAUGGCGUGAAUAAAUGCUGAUUUUUUGGGAAUUGUGGGAUUCGACUCUGAUAUGUUCAACAAAAAAUUUGUUGAACAUGACGUGAAUAAUGGUGAUCGUUAGAUUAGAUAAAAUAAUGACUGAAAUUUGGUCUAUGUUCUUUGAAUACUUAGUGGUUUUCAUUAAACUCUUCCCUAUAUAUGUAUAGAGGAUAGGAUUAACAUAGAAACCCCUCUUAAGAAUAAAACUAAGAACUAUUUUACAGCGUUAAUUGAUAGGAUCAAAAUUGAUGGCCAAGAUUAAUUCUUUUUUUCACGGGGAUUGAUGAUUAGUGACCUAAUUAUGAGAAAGGGUAAAAAAGUGAAAUUGUAUUUUACAGUAUUCAUUCGCUCCGUAAAAUUGCCACUUCCAUCAAAAAGUUUAAUUCUUUAAUUCUUCUAGGAUUUUCUCGAAAAAUCAAUUUCAAUGAACAAGAAAGAUUGGAGGUUUUAAGUGUUGACUACUAGAUUUUUUAAUUUUAUUAAUUAGUAUAUUUCUAAGUGUUGACUACUAGAUUUUUGUUUAAGAAAUCAUAUGUGAAAAUAUUUUAUUUUCUUAUUUUGUUAAAUUUGUUUUAAAAAUUAAAACACUUGAGACGAAAUGUAACUCUUAUAUACUCGUUAACUCAAUAUACAUAGUAUACAUUUAUCGGUGCAACUUCAAUAUAAGUUGUGACCCAUGUUAUGAAUACUGAAUAUCUAUCGGUUGAGAUAGAGACUGCUAUUUCUCUCGUAAUUGUUGUCCACAACAUGUGGUAUGCAUAAGUUCUCUUCUAGUCUGUAAAUGGAUAUAUACUCCUGCCAAUUAAAUCUAGUUUUUUUUUUUUUUUGGUCUAUCAAAAUUGUUUGAUCAUAUUUAUGUGAAACACAUCAAAAUCAUAUAUUUUGGUGUGAUUCUAUCUUUACAGCACAACGCAAGCCUGCUGCGCUAGCUUGAAUGAAAAACUGACGAAACUGACGCGGGGGCAGAAUCAGAAUGCACAAUCUACAGAGUUCAAAAAUUUACGGAACGUAACCCCAAUGCUUACGACCCGAGGUGAUGCUAUUGGUCCUUAUCACGCAACAAGGAUCAUCUAAAAAUGAUGGAAGAUACAAGCUACGUUACUUCCAGCACUCAUCAAAGGAAACCUUCCAACAUGUGGAAAGCUACGCAGCAUGUGUGGGCAGAUUGGAAGCCGAAGCAAGAAAAUGUUACGCAGAUGAGCCUACAAGCCUGAGCCCAAGCGAUUCAUACAAAUGCUUGUACUAGAUGGAUGCUUCAUCUUGAGUUAUUAUUACUGAAGGCGCAUGGUGUCCCUGAGGAGAGAAUGAUCCCAUCUUCCAAUGGCUGGAUGAUUAUUAGCCUGCAGCGCGAUUUAAUGCUCUUCGAGAAUCAACUCCCAUUCUUCGUCUUGUGCGAGCUGUUGACUGAUUGAGGUCCCGGCCGCAUAGUAGGUUGCGGACCUUCUCCUGCAAUUCUUACGUCUGUAUCCUGGGAAGGCUACAGAGGAGAAGGAGCGUAGCUCCUCGUGAGGUGAAGCAUUUGCUUCACUUCAUCCAUCGUAUUGGCUUCCCCGCGCACGGGCACGGGCUCGGGCGGGAGGAAGGAACAGGUAAGGGUUGCAGUUCAAAAAUUAGCGCACAGGCUUAAGAGGCUAAUGUCAGGUUCGAGAAUCCAGCCAGGCUGCGUUGUCGACGUGAGGUUCGAAAACGGGGUGAUGACCAUGGCGCUUCUGGUCAGGACAGGACGAGUCGUUCCUCCGGAAUCUCGUCGCGUACGAGCAGUACUUUGGGCACGAUCAGGACAAUUCGUGACGGAUUAUUCACAUUCUGAUGCCUUGUUGAUUCCUCCAAGGAUGUGGAGAUACUGUCGCGCAACGGAAUCGUGGAGAACUGGUGGGCGAGAGGAAGCCGUGGCGAAGAUGGUGAACAAGCUGGUGAAUCGGUGGUGGCCCUCAGCUUCAUUAUGCGGAGAUGCUUGAGAAUGUGGAAAGCAUUGCAGGAAAAGAAGGAAUAGGUGGAUGGCCACGUUGAGGCGUACUUAUUUAAGUAGUCCUUGGCUUAUUAUGUCUCUACUUGUGGUGAGUGCUGCUUCUGCUCCAUCACGCAAACAGUGUUUACCAUAUUACAGGUGGUUUGAAUUAGAAGAGCGACUCACCAUUUCUGCUCUAUCACAUGUAGCGAUGCCGCCUCCAUCUCCCCUCUCCUUAUGUCUCUCUCUCUCUCUCGCUCCCUCUUUCCCGUUCGUCCUCUCUAUUGCCGGAACAGGACGCCGACUGCUCCCUCUGGACUCUAGCCUCUCUCGGCGGCGCUGACGAAUACACUGCCGCCUCUCGGCCCUCCGAUCGACUGCGUGGCGGCACAUCUUCUCCAGCCACGCAAUUUUGGGGGCUAGGGCUAGGGCUGCGAUCGAAGGGCACCGACGAUGCUUCUCACUCUCCUCUUUUUCUGUUCUUUUGAACACUUAAAAUUCUUGGUUUGCAUGUUGAGAGACGAAUUUGGUUUGAAUUGAUUUUUUGGUGAAAAUUGGAUUGAGGAAAUUAGAACAUAAAAUGGUUUUGGAACAGGAAAUUGGUGAAAAUUGGAAAUUGGAACAUGAAUUUGCAUGUUGACCGCUGACGACGCCUUUGCCGGAGAAGAAGGUGAAUGGCAGCCAACAAUCAUCCCCUCGCGUCUUAAUUUACUCAUUAACACACUCAAUUAAAACAUAACAAUGAAUUUCUUAAUUUUCGUGCCGAAAAGAAUGUGGUCAACAAUAAUGGGACGAAGGGAGUAGUAAAUAUAGGAAAAGAAUGGGAGUAAAAAAGUACAAAAAAUAGAAUAUGACUCUAAUUUUUUAUAUAAUCUAAAAACUAGAAAGUCCAUUCGUGCGAUGCACGACGAACAUCGAAAUUAAAUGACAUAUUUAAAUAAUAAUAAAAAUAUUAAAUAGAAUUAAAUAAUCCACAUCAAUUACUCAAUAACCUCUUGAAUUUGAAACAUAUAUUUUCAACUUUGUAUAAAAUAUAAUGAUAAAUAUAGUUAUAAUAUAAAUUUAAAUUAUUUGAUAAUGAAAAUUGACAUUACACAUAAUAAUAAUAAUAAUAAUAAUAUUAUUAUUAUUAUUAUUAUUAUUAUUAUUAUUAUUAUUAUUAUUAUUAUUAUUAUUAUUAUUAUUAUUAUAUUAUUAAUUUACUAUACAAUAAUAAUAAAUAAAAGUUAAGUAAAUUGUUAAUGAAGAGAGAAAAAAUAUAAUAUAUUUAAUUUUAAUUUUUUCAUUUUAAAUUCAUUUUUGAUAAUUGUUUUGUACCAUAUUAAAGAUCUUUUCACCAACUUAAAUUUAAGAAGUAGUAGCAAAUUAAGUACUUCAUGAAUUAAAUUUGAUGAUGUUUAGAAAAUAAAAUUAAAGAAAAAAAUAGAGAGANNNNNNNNNNNNNNNNNNNNNNNNNNNNNNNNNNNNNNNNNNNNNNNNNNNNNNNNNNNNNNNNNNNNNNNNNNNNNNNNNNNNNNNNNNNNNNNNNNNNNNNNNNNNNNNNNNNNNNNNNNNNNNNNNNNNNNNNNNNNNNNNNNNNNNNNNNNNNNNNNNNNNNNNNNNNNNNNNNNNNNNNNNNNNNNNNNNNNNNNNNNNNNNNNNNNNNNNNNNNNNNNNNNNNNNNNNNNNNNNNNNNNNNNNNNNNNNNNNNNNNNNNNNNNNNNNNNNNNNNNNNNNNNNNNNNNNNNNNNNNNNNNNNNNNNNNNNNNNNNNNNNNNNNNNNNNNNNNNNNNNNNNNNNNNNNNNNNNNNNNNNNNNNNNNNNNNNNNNNNNNNNNNNNNNNNNNNNNNNNNNNNNNNNNNNNNNNNNNNNNNNNNNNNNNNNNNNNNNNNNNNNNNNNNNNNNNNNNNNNNNNNNNNNNNNNNNNNNNNNNNNNNNNNNNNNNNNNNNNNNNNNNNNNNNNNNNNNNNNNNNNNNNNNNNNNNNAUAUUUAAUAAAUUAGUGAACUUCAAAUAAAAGAUUAAAAAUAAAAGCACAUAAUAAUAAUAAUAAUAAUAAUAAUAAUAAUAAUAAUAAUAAUAAUAAUAAUAAUAAUAAUAAUAAUAAUAAUAAUAAAUAAAUUAAUUAAUAUUUUCAUACACAAAUAUAAAUAAAAAGUUGUAAAAAUGUUAAUGAAGAGAGAAAAAAUAUAAUAUAUUUAAUUUUAAUUUUUUCAUUUUAAAUUCAUUUUUGAUAAUUGUUUUGUACCAUAUUAAAGAUCUUUUCACCAACUUAAAUUUAAGAAGUAGUAGCAAAUUAAGUACUUCAUGAAUUAAAUUUGAUGAUGUUUAGAAAAUAAAAUUAAAGAAAAAAAUAGAGAGAAAAAUGAAGGAAAAUAUUGGAGGGAAAAAUUAUGUCUCUAAAGAUAUAAAUUUUUAAUUGAUUGAUUAUUUUCACAAUUAUCAAUUACCUUCAAAAUUAAAAUUUAGGAAGGACGGGUACGUAUUUUAGGACAAAGUUAUUGAGUAUAUUGGAAGUGGUGAAAAUGUGAAAAGUAAAGAUAAAUGAGAUAUAUAUUAGGGUUAAUAGCCGAAAAAUACACGAACUUUCACGAAAUUUGCAAAUUGCACAUGAGCUUCAAAAAUAGCCCCAGAAUACAUCACCUUUUAAUUUUAUUGUAAAUUGCACACGGGGAGAACUCCGGCCAUAAUUAAAGUUGACCGGCAAUGACGUGUAGUCCACGUAGCAUUUUUAUUGUAGGUGGCAAUACGCGUGGCAUUUUUAUUGAUCUGGCAUUACACGUGUCAUUUUUAUUAAAAAAGAAAUUUAAAAAAAUGAAAGAAUGAUGAAGAACGAUGAACAACCGGUCCACCGCCUUCGUCGAUGCGGUCUGAGUCCGGCCACCACCAUUUUCUCUCUCCACCACCACCGUUUUCCCUCUCCUCCACCACUGUUUUCCGUCAUCUCCACCACCACCACCAUCACAAAAAUCUCCACCGCCUUCUUCGAUUUGAUCUAUUGAAAGAUUUGGGGAAGGGUUUGAUUUGAUCGGAGUUGGCCCAUUUCCACCGCCCGCUGCCCUCCCUCUUCCCCGUGAUUUCCGCCGCCCCGCCGCCCUCCCUCUUCCCCCGCGACUUCCGCGCCCCCGCCGCCCUCCCUCUUCCCCCGCGACUUUGCGCCGCCUCGCACUCUGCAAACCCUCCUCCUUCAUCGACCUCCCAACCACUCGAUUUUAGAAAUUGCAGAGCAGCGAUUUUAGAACCCCAAACAAGCAAACAAACAAAAGGGGGAAACCCCCAGAUCUGGCGGCGGCGGCGGCGAGGAGGAAGAGGAGUUGGGAUUUGGUGUUUGUUGUUACUACUUUCUUCUCUCUUGCUCUUGUUCAACAUGGAGCAACAAAGAUUAGCACCGAUUAUCUUUUCGGACCAGAUCCAACGGCGGCCAUCCCUGAAAAUCCGUCCCCUUCAAUACCAUCGGAGUAGACGAAGCCGCUGGCGGCGGCGAUGCAGAGGAUCUGGCCGUCCUUUUGAGGACAAAGGAGACACAACGGUAGGAGGCAGCGUCUGCGUCGACUUAGCUCGCCGGAGAUGGAGAAACAGUGACGCGAAGAGAGGAAGGAGAAGGGGAGACGUGAAUGAGAAGAAGGGAGGCGCCGGAGAUGGUGUGCAGGGGGUGCGGCGGCUGGGAGUGAUAAGGGAGGCGCCGCAUAUGUUUUCCUCUCAUUUUUUUUUUAAUUAGACUCAGUCAAAACGACAUCGUUUUAAGUGUAGAAUAUAACUACAAAAACGAUAUCGUAUCAUUUGAACGCCGGAGUGUCCACGUCGGCAAAUUCCGGGAGCCAUGUCAACACCGAUUAAUGUGUUGGUCAACGCAUGUGCAAUUUACGAUAAAAUCAAAAGUUGAUGUAUUCUGAGGCCAUUUUUGAAGCUCAUGUGCAAUUUGCAAAUUCGGGCAAACUUCGUGUAUUUUUUGGCUAUUAACCCUAUAUAUUAAUAGUGGUAGGAUAGUGUCCCAAAAUGAAUAGGAAAUUAUUUAGGGGACGAUCCAAAAAUUCAAAAUGAGAUAUAUAUUAAUAGUGAUUGAGUAUGUCGAGCAUUAGUGCAUUUUCUCAUAAAAUUUGAUUGCUGGACUCGCAGUGGUUGAAAAUGUCGAGCAAUUUACUAUUGCAUUUAGCACUAAUGCUCGACUAGCAAAGGUUGAGCAUUAGUGUAUUUACCACAAAUGCACUGAUGCUCGACAUGCUCAAAUUGCAGUGGUCGAGGAUUAAUGCAUUUACCACUAAUGCUUGACUUGUAUUCAUCGAGCAUGUCGAGCGAGGUUUGCGAUUUGAGUAAUAUAGAACGACAAUAUGAUUAUUUCAAACUCAAAAUGGGUAGUUUUUAUAAUUUUAUUUUAUAGAUGUUUUUUGUUUUUGUCUUUGAGAGUGUGUAAAAGCUGCCAUUAACCCAACUUUUUUAGGGUAUAUAUAUUUAUAAAAAAAGUAUGAGAGAAAACGAAGAUAUUCUUUUAAAUGCAAAAGGAAAUAAUUAUUUACGGGUCAUAAUGAUAUUAAUUAGAUAGUGAGUUAUGUAAGGACGUUUCUUAUGUAUUGAUUUUCAAUAUAGUGGUUUAUUGAAAUGAGACGUUCAAAUAAAAAAAUGUGGUCUUUUUAAUUGGGUCGGAGGAAUAAUUUAUUUUUUUAAAUACUUAUAAAGUUUAUUUGGGGUCGAUUAAGUUUGUGAAUCUCAAAUUACAAUACAAAAAAUCAUGUAAUUACAGGCGGCGUUUGCCGUCGGUAAUAAUAGUACGACCGUCGGCGGCAUUAGCGGUGGCCGGUCGCCGCCGCUAAAUUGCUCGUCGGUGAUUCGAAUAGCGGCGGCAAACGACCGCCACCGCGAAAUAACGGCGCCACCGUUGUCGUUAACUGUCGACAUUGAUUGGCGCAGGCACCAAAAUUUUAACGGCGGCGACUGUCGUCGCUAAUUAGCGGCGGCGCCACCGCCGUCGGUAAUAUUGACUGGACGGCGGUGGCACCAGUCGCCGAAUCGGCGAUGUUCGCUGGACGGUUUGCCGUCGCUAAUUAGCGCCGGCGCCAUCGCUGCCGGUAAAUUUUUAUAUUUAUUUAUUUAUACCCCACAAGUAUUUUCGUAUUUAUACAGUAGUGCAUACGUUAGACGAACUUCCCAGUCGAUCACCCAUCUUAAUUGUGCUCUAAGUCAAGCACGCUUAACCUUAAAAUUCAUUUCGAGUGGUCACCAGUACAGAACACUCGUAUUAUUGAUAUAUCCAGUACAUAUUAAUUCAUUUAAACUCUAUUUCAAUAUACAAUAUCAUAUAUUGAUAACCGUAGAAUAUAUCGAGAUGAUAUCCAAGAGAUGUCGUUAAUUACUGAUUGAUCUCGUUUCCAUCCUUAUUUUUAUGUCGAUUUAUUAUUAUUAUUAUUAUUAUUAUUAUUGUUAUUAUUAUUAUUAUCAAUCUAGUUUAUAUACAAUAAGUAUUUUAAUGUGGUUUUGUAAUGUAUUUUGAAUUCAAUUGAAGAGUGAUUAGUGAAGAUUCUACUUAAGAAUCUUGUCAAGAUUCUUCAAUUGAAAAGUGAUUAGUUGGGAUUCUACUUAAGAUUCUUGAUUUCAAACAAUAUUAGUGAAGUUUCUUGUUAAGAUUAUUCAAUUGAAGAGUGAUUAGUGAAGAUUUUACUUAAGAUUCUUGAUUCCAAACUAGAUUAGUGAAGUUUCUUGUUGAUUAUUCAAUUGAAGAAUGAUUAGUUGCUGAAAUAGAAAUUUUAUUGAAAAAGAAAAGAUCAAAACCCUUCAAAGCACAAGCGCAGACUAAGGGCCGAGCCUCCAAAAAGAGAGCUCAAACGAAAGAAAACUACAAAGCAACGAAAAAACCAAAACAACACUAAGAGAAGAAUUGAUCGUCCUCGUAGAACGAGUCGUCGUCAUCCAGCAUAUCUCCCCAUCUCUUAGAAACUACAGCUGACAUAGCUCGAGCAGCGUCUGAAGAAGAAGAACGAACCACAAGCGCUCCUCCAGACUGAGCAUUUGGCACUUUAUUCAAGAACUCCACUGGCAACGGAGUGUCAAGAACGGCGCCCUUAUUCCUGAGCCGAUUUUUGAUACUGUCAAUCGGAUUCGGCGGAUCUUGCGUACGUUCCAUACCCUUUUUAGGUCGACCCGGUCGACGCUUAGGGUUGUCAACGAGCAUUUGCAUCCCCUGACUGACCUGCUCCUCUAAUUUGCUAAUACGACUAGCCAACUCCUCCUGAAUAGAAUGUGUAGGCUCAAUGACCGACCGAGAUGCAGAAACAUCUACCAUGUCCAUGGACGGAACGACGGCCGACUGUAUACCCUCAGACCCGGCCGUGUCCUCCCUCUGUGGUCGCUUUGCCGAGCUUGCGGCCUCGCGAUCGUCAGCAAUGAUCUCCUCAUCCACGGAUCUGUCAGAAUCCUCCAAAACAACCGUGUCCUCCUUGCAGGCUUGAGCGACUUCAUUCUGUAACUCCAUACCCUCCAGCACCUCAAACCGAUUUCUGUUUUCCACAGAAGCCUUCCCAACAGUAACAUCACCUCUGGGCGAAGACUCCUCAUGAUUAUCCAUCUUAGCAGCAGAAGGCGCCGCGUGCUGUCGAGAACGGCUCCUAAUUUUCUUCCAGUGUCGAGAUCUAUUGCUAUGCUUCCUGCCCCGCAAACUAUUAUCCUGUACUUUCUGUUUAGUCGGAGAGGCAGGCUCCAUGCCCGAUUUCCUGCAGUCAUCAGUGGCAUGGCAAUUGAAGAAUGAUUAGUGAAGAAUCUUGUUAAGAUUAUUCAAUUGAAGAGUGAUUAGUUGGGAUUCUACUUAAGUUUCUUGUUGAGAUUCUACUUAAGAUUUUUGAAUUCAUUUGCAUACGUUGAAUUCAAUCACAAUAAAUAGGGAAUAGAGAGCAAGGUAAGUGCAAUGUUGUUUGAAAACAUGAAAUAAAAGUGCAAGUUUAAUUUUGUUCCAGAAUAUGAAAUAAAUAGUUCAACCAAAUAUAAAUACGUAGAAGUGCUGCCAAGGUAGCUGGCCCGACCGCCUCAGUAUCUCCUCGAACAUAGCUAUCCGCUGCUUAAAAAGCUCACGUGCUGCUUGUUCGACCUCAAGUGCUGCUCGCUCGGCCUCACGUGCUGCUAAUUCUGCAGCCCUGUCCUCGUCAGCCUUCCGCAGCCGCUUCUCCAGCGUGGAGAUCCGUGUCUCAUACAACUGUUGAGACAUCCUGGAAGCGCCAGUGCUGCGAGUAGACCCUUUACUAACCUGGCUCCGACCGGCACUUCCAGUGCCGUAGAGCCGUGAACUGUUGGGCUGUACGACCUCCAAGUAGAUCUCAUCCAACCGAUUCUCACGUCCAGUCUCAACAGCAAUGCGACGAAUCUCCGCCUAAUUCAUACAUAACAAUGCAUAAUUGUUAGAAAAUAAAUGCAUUUCACUAUGUAUUAAUAUUUUGAUUAAACUUAAACACUUACAUCUAGUCUCUCAUCCUUCGUUGACAAAAAAGUUCCAUCCUCGCGCAUGUGGAGGCGGAGGAAGGUGCUAUAGUUCUGUGCAGCCGGGGGGAGUCCAGUCUUCAAGCUCUGUUCAUGCAUGUAUAUAAGAUAAAAUAUAUAGGGGGCCGCUCCAAUGAGACCCUUAAUUUUAAUGAGAUCUAGGGCACGAUCUGAUGCGUUUAUUUUAUCAAUUCUAUGGUUGAUACUGUAUCUGGAGGGAUAAUUUUUUUCGCAGGGUUCGAAUCUUGGAGGGAGCAAAAUAUUUUAAAUUUUGUUAUUCAUCAGUAUAUACUGCGUUGUUCAUCAGUAUAUAAUGCCUUGUUCAUUACCAAUUUUUUAAAUUUUACUUUUCAUCAGUAUAUACAUCUUGUUCGUUAGAUAUACGUCUUGUUCAUUAAUAUUAUAUUUCUUAUUCAUUGUCCUCAGUGUUACACGAAAAAUAGGGGGUAGCGUGCCCUUAUAUAGGGCCGCUCCAAUGAGACCCCCUAAUUUUAAUGAGAUUUAUGGUACGAUCUGAUGCAUUUAUUUUAUCAAUCCUAUGGCUGAUAUUGUAUCCGGAGGGUGAUUUUUUUUCCGCAGGUUUCGAAUCCUGGAAGAAGCAGAAUAUUUUAAAUUUUAUUAUUUAUCAGUAUAUACUGCAUUGUUCGUCAGUAUAUAUGUCUUAUUCAUUACCAAUUUUUUAAAUUUUAUUUUUCAUCAGUAUAUACAUCUUAUUCAUUAGUAUUAUAUGUCUUAUUCAUUAUCUUCAUGUUACACGAAAAAUUAGAGGUCUCAUUGGAGCGCGCCCCUAUAUAUAUAUAUAUAUAUAUAUAUAUAUAUAUAUAGAGAGAGAGAGAGAGAGAAAGGGGUUCAACAGAGAAGAUAAAUAUUGUGGAGAAUAGAGAUCUCGUAAAUAAAAACAAACAGAUCUAUAAUUUUAAUGAACAGAUCAAUGUACCACAUGAACAGCAAUUUGCCCCGGGUUCGAAUCCUGCUGGUGGCGAGUUUUUCUUUAUUUUUACUAAAUUCGACUGUUCAUUACUUAUGUUGAUCUAUUCGUAAAAUGAAUAGAUUUGUUCAUAAUGAAUAAAAAGAUAAUUCUCUAUUGAACUCAACCCUAUAUAUAUAUAUUGUCGAAUGGUAAAAUAUGGAGACAUAGAAGAGGAAGAAUAGUUUAUUAUGUUCAGUGUGUAAAAUACCAGUGACCUCCCGCAUAUAUAUAGGGGAAAACUAGGGCUACAACAUAAAUAAAGAAAAUUAAAUACUCCUACAAAAUAUUCUUGAACACUCCCCCUCAAGCUGGAACAUAUAUAUCGAUCAUGUCCAACUUGGUGCAAAGUUCAGAAAAUCAUUUUCCGCACAACGGUUUAGUGAAAAUAUCAUCAACUGGUUGGACGAAGAAGUGAAAGGAGUAGCAAUAGUCUUACUCAAGACACACUCACGAAUGAAAUGACAGUCAACCUCAAUAUGUUUANCAAAGAAAUGAGAAGUAAUCUCAGCCAUUGAUCUUAUUUAAUCUAACGACUGAGAUUGAUUUGCGCCAUGUUCAACGAAAAUUUGUUUUGAACAUGAACAACCAUCGAACCCCCCAGCCCCCAAAAGUUCAUGACAUGUUUAACUGUUUCUCUAUUUUUCUACUGAUAUAUUCAUGACAUGCUCAAUGCUUCUCAAUUCUCUACUUUAUUUUGCUUCUCCAUAGAAACUAACCAUAUAUCCGUCCACGAAUUAAAGCCCUACUUGCACUUAAAUUUUUGUCCACCAAUUAAAGCCCCAUUGUGCUUUUUGUACUCUUUUACUCUUCUUCUUUUCCUAUAUUUACUACCCUUUGUCACUAAUGGACCCACCUUACAACAACUUUAUCAUUUUUAUAUUCUAUAUUUAUUACACUUUAUCACUAGUGGACCCACCACACAACACCUUUAAGACUUUAGUCAACUACUUUAUCACUUUUGAUGAGGAGUAAACUCUGCAUCAACUCUACGCAAUUAACAUGACUAAAAUCUUUCUUUUAUAUUAUUAUUAUUGACACAAUUAUUACUAUUAUUUCAAAUAUUUUGUGCAGCGCUAAUUUGACACGGCUGACUUUAUCAAUCGGGAAUUAUAUGGGCAGCUCAACGACUCGACUUUAAGCUCAAGACUCAUGUAAUAAGGGCUUAGGCCCAAUUAUUUAAAUUAAUGGGCUUUAGAGGUCAAAUGGGCCAAGCUCACUUAAUAGCAUAUAAAUAGGGCUUUUUCAUUAUUUACUCACAAGUUAGUCAAGGAAGUUAAGUUAGAUAAGUUAGAAAAGUUAAUCAUUCUUUCAAUUCUCAAGUUGUAAAUGUAAACACUUUCCAAUAAUAUAGUGAAACACACCAAAAAUCCACCGUGGAUGUAGAUCUAAUGAUCGAACCACGUAAAUCCUCGAGUCAUUUAUCGUUUUAUAGUUAGAUGUUGAUGUUUGAUUCAUCAACUGGCGCCGUCUAUGGGAAAAUCGAGCUAAAGCGUGAGUAUUUUACUAUUUUUCCACUUACUGUUCAUCGAAAAAAUCCUCCAAUUUUCCAGUUUCCGGUAACAAUGGUGGUUGUUCACUUUUCUUGUCAUAAAACUUUUCCGGCGAAACCCACCAACGAUCGGCUCCCUUUCCGUUUCAAGUCUUCACCCAAUAAAGAAAAGAGUUCUAGGGAAUCCCUUCUCUCAUGGCUAGAAAGAAAAUCCCCAGUUUCUAACAGGAAAUCCGGCAGCCUGCCAUCUCCAACGAUCACCAUCUCCGGUCAGUAACCCCGGAUUCUUCGCGAUUCCUCUUCUCCCUAAAUUCUCCGGCGAAAAUCCACUGCCGGUCAUCUCUAUCGAUCCCCCACAAAUCCAAAUCGAAGCCAUCUGCCACCACUCUCUCUCAGUCCAUGAUAGUUUUCGAAGAUUCCCAAGCUGUGUCCCCAAAAAUCGGAACCCUCAACACAAAUCGCCUCUCUCUCAUAGAAAUCCCGAAAAUCACAUCUCCCUCACUCGAUCCGCUUCGGACGGCGUCGGCUGCUGGCACGCCCAAGUCCAGCGAGGAACCGCUGCCGUUGUUGUUUUGUGAGUCAGCAUGACCAGCGCUCAUCAGCGCGGACGCCGUUGGUGCUGAGCUCCCGGCGAGGAGUACUCAUACAUCUCGCUCUCUCGUUAACUCUCAAGGACGAAUUCUCCCUCACACACAAAGAAAACAGAGGCCAAGACCUAGCCCUCUCUCUACUUAGGCGACACGCCACCAUCGCUGGGCUUCGAUCGUCGUCGCUGCCCCUAUAAGCAUUUGCAAGGCCGUCACAUCGGGAUCCCAAUUUGCUUUCGUCCGAUGGCAACAGAUACGCACAUCACAGCCAAGCAAGCUGCUCUGGCGAUAACCUCUUCGCAACCUCCUGUCUCUCUCUAAGCCUUAGGCUAGCGGCGCUGUCGCGCCCUCUUUGUUCCAACAGAACAGGGCAAUCAGCCCCCUCUAACCAAGAAGCUAAGUUCACAAUCCUUUAGCUAUUUUGCUUUUCCAGUUAUACAAGAUGCUUCGAUUAGAACUAUUUUUACCAUUUUGUUAUGUGAAGAAAUCUGAACCUGCUGCUUAAAAACUAUCAAGUUAUUUCUAUUUGUUAUCUGAUGAUGCUGGAGGUCUAAAAAAAAAUUGUAUAAUGCAUAUGUUGUCUGACAUUUGAUGAUGUGAACCUGAUAAGAUAUACCAAAUCAUUAUGUUCAUCCUUUGGAUCAAAUGGUUUGCCGAGAUAAACUUACUGUAUUCGUUGUCUCACGAUGGUGGUCAGUCAGAUAAAAACUAUAUGGCAGGAUAAAUGUCUCAAUUCUGAUGUUAAGAAAUCGUUAUAAUGAUGAAUCAAAGGAAAAAUAUGGUUGUUGCCCAAUAUGUCAGAUUGUGCAUUGCCUAUUAUCUGCUGUGGUUUUUCUUCCUAAACAUCAGAUAUGUGAACUUAUUUAAUUCCUUGAAGCAAUGCCGCGUCGUCGGCUGACUCUUUCUCUGUUUUUCAGAGGGGGGGAUAGGGGAUAAUUUAUUUGGUUCUUUUUCUCCAAAUUCCCGGUGACUGAGCCGCCAGAUAUCAAAAGUCUCAGUCUCCCUCUCCCUAAGUGGGACUCAUAUUCCAUGCCGGAAACCGGCGAUCGACAAUCGCCCCCCUAAAUAUGGCGGCAUCAGACAUCACUCUUAAUGAAUAAGAUGAGUUAUCUCUAUCUCUCUUAAUUCAAUUUGAUUGAAAUUAAUUGGGGAAAACUAAGGAUAUGUGCCUAUGGUCCUGCAACCCUCUUGAUGUAUGGUUUUAUUAUCUCUUGAGAAUGCCACUGUAAACUGUAUAUGGAAAUGUAUUAUAACUGCAUAUAAGCUGUAUACAAUUAUUUGUAUUUAAUGGUUCAUAUGGACUUGCGGCAUAUUCUAAGAAUUAAAGUUACAGCAGUUGUUGAGAUUGAUAACGAGCUUUUGUUUGAUUUUAGCUAUAAGAGUCCCAUGAUCUAUAAUCUAUGAACUUAUCUAACUAGACUUUGCUAUUCGCAAAUUUAAAGUAUGGAAUUUAUUGCGAGUGAAUUGACAAUAUUUACGAAUUAAUCAAACAUGACAACUUUGGUUCAAUUGUUGGGGGCAAAUGAAUAUGCGCACUAUGAUUGUGAUGAUUAACCUUUUGUUUAUUACCUCCAUCUUGGAGUUACAUCUUAAGAUUUAAGAUGGUGAAAUGUGUGAUUGUAUUACGUAUGCACAGGUUUAUGUGUACUGAAAAAAUGUGAAUUGAAUGAUUAUGAAUCAAAAUUUUACUGAUCUGGAAUCUGUCAUAAGCACAAAUAAUGGAUAUAUGCCUGGUCUGCUCAUUUUAUUAAAAUUUCUGGAUAUGAUUCACAAUGAGGAUACAAUUAAGUUCUUGGGUCUGCUCCAUUUUCUGGGCUAGAUUUUCAGAGCUCGAUUUUAAAGCAUGAUUGAACUCAAUUGAGGAUAUAUUAUGUAUUUGGUUAGUUAAUUGCUUUUGUUUAUUGAUUAAUGCGAGGAUCAUGUGGAGAAGGAUAAAAUAGCCAAAGAAAAAGAGGAUGUUCAGUGACGAACAAGAGGAUGCCAUUUACCGACAAUAAGGAGAAUAUCUCGUGAAGAAAAUGAUUGACCUGUUUGUCAAUGAAGAAGCUGAGUUAUCUCUCUCUCUUAAUCCCAUCUGGUUUUGAAUUAAUUAGGGAAAAAUGCAAAUGGAAAAUUCAUAUGUGAUAAUUGUACUAUUCUUAGGAUGAAUUGUUUAGACAAGAAUUGCAAAAUUUUGAGUAAAAUGUUGGCUGUUGCCCCUAAACUGAGUGAGCUCAAGAUUUUAUUACUUCUUUUCAAUGAAUUGAGGAUGCUCUGAUAUUUGGGUAAGGGGCUAGUUAUUGGUAACAAUAUGUCAUGAUGACAUGAACCUGGAUGCUUAAUAAUGUGGGACUGGUUGUUUCUCUUUGUUGUUUGAUGAUGCGGUUUGUAAAAUAUUGAUGGGGUUGGAAAUAUGCGCGUAUCUGAGAAUAUAUGAACUUUUUGGGGAAGGUCGAAGCACCACAGUUGAAGAGUUUCUGCUCAUUUUGCAAUUUGUUAUACAUGCUUUUUUGGUUGAACCAUAAUAAUGAUAGUUCUCAUUCAACCUGUAUUGUGUCCAUCUCGUGUUGAGUUUAUGCUCUAGUCAUUGCUCAUUGAAUUUUAUAUCAAUACUUCUUGAUGUAUACCUUCACAUGUUGCAAUAAAACCUCCUUGCAAGGAUUUUUACUAGGAGCUUUCAUAUUUUACUAAUAAUCUCUUUGCUUGAGAAUUCUUAUAAGUACAGCUGAAAAAACAAAGCAAAAAUAAAGCGAGGUGCAGAUCUGAGGAAAUAUGUGAAUGAAUUCGAUAAACGCCGUAACAUGAAAUUGUUAACCCACUAAUAAGUGGUAAUUCAGGUACUUCACUGAACUCUAUCAAUAGGAAGAGCAUGAUAAAGAAAUGUUAUACUUUAGCACUUGGGCACAAUUAUGAUUCGUAUGAUCUUUAUUUACAUUAUGAAAUAAUAAUGAUACCCUCUUGGAAGCUGCACAACUUCUGCAUAUGUGCCUAUACUUGAAACAUGAAUUUACUUUAAUACGAAGCUGCACAACUUCUGCAUAUGUGCUAAAAUAUAAAAUGGAUGCAUGGUUUUUGGGAAUUCAACUCUGUUCAUAACAUGUUCAUUCAAUUUCUUCAUAUAUUCAUUCAAUUUCUUCACAUGUUACCAGCGGGGGGAGUAGGGUGUACACCCAAAAUAUGUCUAACGAUAGAGUUAGCUUCACCUCAUCCAAAGAUGAGUAAAAAUAUUGAAAAGAAUGCCCAAUGGCAAGAAUUCAUCUCUACCUCCCCUAAAGAGGAAAAGUUGAAAGGAAAUCUUAGAAAGAAUGCCCAAUGGCAAGAAUUCAUCUCUACCUCCCCUAAAGAGGAAAAGUUGAAAGGAAAUUUUAGAAAGAAUGCCCAAUGGCAAGAAUUCAUCUCUACCUCCCCUAAAGAGGAAAAGUUGAAAGGAAAUUUAGAAAAAAUGCCCAAUGGCAAGAAUUCAUCUCUACCUCCCCUAAAAAGGAAAAGUUGAAAGGAAAUCUUAGAAAGAAUGCCCAAUGGCAAGAGUUGAUUCCACCUCCCCUAAAGAGGAACGAAAAUAUGUUGAAAAAAUGCCCAAUGGCAAAGUUGGCUCCACG
Molecule: long non-coding RNA, 18253 nt
Filed under: Salvia miltiorrhiza (redroot sage)
Lineage: Eukaryota; Viridiplantae; Streptophyta; Magnoliopsida; Lamiales; Lamiaceae
Description: long non-coding RNA (SMIL_LNC010932)
Source: RNAcentral